RNAcentral lists this ribosomal RNA (200 nucleotides) under uncultured bacterium. Its description in RNAcentral is "partial 16S ribosomal RNA". It matches the Rfam family "Bacterial small subunit ribosomal RNA", at positions 29 to 259 of the family's 1533-position model. The record is from RNAcentral.
AACGAACGCUGGCGGCAGGCUUAACACAUGCAAGUCGAACGCCCCGCAAGGGGAGUGGCAGACGGGUGAGUAACGCGUGGGAAUCUACCGUGCCCUGCGGAAUAGCUCUGGGAAACUGGAAUUAAUACCGCAUACGCCCUACGGGGAAAGAUUUAUCGGGGUAUGAUGAGCCCGCGUAGGAUUAGCUAGUUGGUGGGGUA